GUUCUUGGGGUUGGACCUAAGCCAUGGGAGUCGCACAUCCCACCGCUGUGGGGUGUGGCGCACGGCUGAGUACCAUGUGGCUAACCUACCCUCGGGAUGGGGAUAACUCCGGGAAACUGGAGCUAAUACCCAAUAAGCGGGGAGGCCUGGAACGGUUCUCCGCCUAAAUGGAUGGAAGGGGGUUAACGCCUUCUAUCCGCCCGAGGAUGGGGCUGCGUCCCAUCAGGCUGUUGGCGGGGUAAUGGCCCGCCAAACCUAUAACGGGUAGGGGCCGUGAGAGCGGGAGCCCCCAGAUGGGCACUGAGACAAGGGCCCAGGCCCUACGGGGCGCACCAGGCGGGAAACCUCCGCAAUGCGGUAACCCGUGACGGGGUCACCCCGAGUGCUCUCCUUUUGGAGAGCUUUUCCCUGCUGCAGUAAGGCAGGGGUAAUAAGUGGGGGGCAAGUCUGGUGUCAGCCGCCGCGGUAAAUACAAGCAAAGC
Molecule: ribosomal RNA, 482 nt
Filed under: archaeon enrichment culture DGGE band 1510b-ker 1
Lineage: Archaea
Description: bacterial SSU rRNA
Rfam family: Archaeal small subunit ribosomal RNA
Source: RNAcentral